GAUGAACGCUGGCGGCGUGCCUAAUACAUGCAAGUCGAGCGAACAGAUAAGGAGCUUGCUCCUUUGACGUUAGCGGCGGACGGGUGAGUAACACGUGGGUAACCUACCUAUAAGACUGGGAUAACUUCGGGAAACCGGAGCUAAUACCGGAUAACAUUUGGAACCGCAUGGUUCUAAAGUGAAAGAUGGUUUUGCUAUCACUUAUAGAUGGACCCGCGCCGUAUUAGCUAGUUGGUAAGGUAACGGCUUACCAAGGCAACGAUACGUAGCCGACCUGAGAGGGGGGAUCGGCCCACCGGGAAACGAGACCGGGUCCAGACCCCCAGGGGAGGCAGCAGUAGGGAAUUUUCCGGAAGGGGCGAAAGCCUGACGGAGAAACGCCGCGUGAGGGAUGAAGGGUUUCGGCCCGUAAAACUCUUUUAUUAGGGAAAAAAAAACGUGAAAGUAACUGUGCACGUCUUGACGGUACCAAAUCAGAAAGCCACGGCUAACUACGG
Molecule: ribosomal RNA, 497 nt
Filed under: uncultured bacterium
Lineage: Bacteria
Description: partial 16S ribosomal RNA
Rfam family: Bacterial small subunit ribosomal RNA
Source: RNAcentral